Molecule: ribosomal RNA, 225 nt
Filed under: uncultured bacterium
Lineage: Bacteria
Description: partial 16S ribosomal RNA
Rfam family: Bacterial small subunit ribosomal RNA
Source: RNAcentral
AGUAACGCGUGAGCAAUCUGCCUUUAAGAGGGGGAUAACAGUCGGAAACGGCUGCUAAUACCGCAUAAGCGCACAGUAUCGCAUGAUACAGUGUGAAAAACUCCGGUGGUACAAGAUGGACCCGCGUCUGAUUAGCUAGUUGGUGAGGUAACGGCCCACCAAGGCAACGAUCAGUAGCCGACCUGAGAGGGUGACCGGCCACAUUGGGACUGAGACACGGCCCAG